GUUAAGGUACCGUAGAAAUCCGC
This 23-nucleotide non-coding RNA is filed under the name Arabidopsis thaliana (thale cress). The record is from RNAcentral. Lineage: Eukaryota; Viridiplantae; Streptophyta; Magnoliopsida; Brassicales; Brassicaceae.